Molecule: long non-coding RNA, 2229 nt
Organism: Syngnathoides biaculeatus (alligator pipefish)
Lineage: Eukaryota; Metazoa; Chordata; Actinopteri; Syngnathiformes; Syngnathidae
Exons: 3
Source: RefSeq, a predicted model, not a curated record
UUAGUCUUCAUAGAGUUUUACUGCCGUGGGUUUUCUGAGCCGUUAAACGACCCCGGACAACAUCUGAGAAAGCUGCAAGAAGAAAACCCACGCCUACAAUGGGAGAACAUGCAAACUCCACUCAGGAAGGACAGAGCUGAGAUUCAAACCCAGAACUCGGAAGCAGUUGUAAUUUAACAUGAGCAUGUUUAGUCAAAUGAAGGGACAAUCUGACCAGCACGUGAUUUCUCACAAGCUCUUGCAAAAGUUCCAAGACACAGGUGUCCAAUCCUAAGGCUCGGGGCCCAGAUCUGCCCCACCACAUGAUUUUCUGUGGCCCGCGAAGGCAAAUCGUGUGAGUCAACUUCCAUGAUGCGUGUUCAAACCUGGACCAAAAUUUAAAAUUGUCAAAUUAUAAAGGAGAUAUUGAGAUGUGGGAAACAUCUUUGUGUUACCAAACGUGAACAGAAGUUGAAAACCCCAUUACCCCUGAUUUCCGAUUCCAAAACUUGUUCAUAAAUUUUAUGUGUAAAUAAGAAGAGAUUUUUAUGAUUUCGCAGUCAACGGUUGUCUGAGGGGAAACUGGAGCGACAAUGUGGCCCUGCUCGAAGAGCUUUUCUUCGGGCACAUUCAGUCUCAAUUGUCAGUGGGGAGAACCCGAGCAAAAACUGCAAACGAAGCCUUGAAGUCCCUUUGAAUAUCGGGUCUGGCCGGAGCAGGAACCGAAGUCACAGGGAAAAGGGUGCCCCACACGGUGAGUGAAGUGACCAGGCUUCGUCAGACACCCCAGGAGGAGAGCCCCUCGUGGGACACCACGGGAAAGUAUUUGGUCUUCAUCCAGUAGUGAAAGUUAUACUCGCCUGACACGCGUGAGGUCCGUGUUUGAAACACGACUGUUCGAUUUUUUUGUUUUUCAUAAAGAGCCCGACGGGGAAAAAAGAAACCACUUGACAACUCCCCGUCGGGGAAUCGAACCACGGUCUUCCGCGUGACAGGCGGAGAUACUGUCCACUAUACUAACGAGGAACUGUUUGUAUUAUGUUGUUUUAGUCCAUAGCUUCUUAUUAUGUGAGCUGCUCUACUAAUAUUUGAUUGGUUUUGAGGAACUGAGAAGUUUGGCCAUUCAGUGUUUCCGUUGUCCUCAGUCUCAUGCUUUUGACUGCUCGUGUUUCGGCUUGCCACUCAUGACAAAACACGCAGCUCCCGUGUAACUCAAACAGAGACAAGCGUUCCCGUGGUGAACACGGAACGAGCAGUCAUCAAGAACGCCUGCAGCCUCCUCACAAGGACCUGACAGCCCUCGCGAGGCUCCAGUCGGCGGCCCGUCACUUUAAAUAUCUCUGCCCAAAGGAUCAUGGGUAAUGACACUCAUUUCCCCUCUCACUCUGCUGUGGAUGCUCGAUCGUGCUUCAGCAAAUCUUGUUGAAUUUGGACAGAAUGUUGUGAGCCCUCGACUUUUUUGGACUAAAACAUCAUUUGUGGAGUCUUCGUGUCCAGUUGGAGUCGUCUCGUUCAUGUUGACCUUUCUGGUCUGAGUUUAGCUUAGCUUGCUAGCAAAGAGACGCAUUUUGUGAUUACUUUGCUGAAGAGGAAAGAGAAAGCAUGAGUUGCAUGCCUGAUGGUUGGGGUCUGCAUGAUGGGACUUGAGAUGUGAGGUGGGGAGCCUCAGAGGUGACGUUUGCAGCCAGACUCUCUCGAGUGCAAGAGUACCAAGAAAGAGUGAAAGAAAAGAUGCAAACUAAGCAUGUGGCGAGCUGUUUGCCAGGGAAUUUCAUUUUUAGUUAUUGGUAGGUGUUUUAGAUGAUAGAUUCUACUUGUUGGAACGGUGGCUCAGCUGGAAAAGCGUUGGCCUCACUGUUCUGAGGUACUCGGUUCAAUCCCGGACCUCCCCGUGUGGCGUUUGCAUGAUCUCCCCAUGCCUGCGUGGGUUUUCUCCGGGGAUUCCGGUUUCCUCCCACAUCCCAAAAACAUGCAACAUUAAUUGGAGAUUCUAAAUUGCGCCUUGGUGUAUUAUGUAGGACUUGAUGUUAAUAUCCUUCUGUUCAAGCCUAUUUUGGCUCCGAUGAGGCUCUGUGGGAUGUUCAAAUAAGUGAUGGCACCCUUCGGGUUAUUAAGUGGGUUUCCUUCCGUCAUCAAGUGUUUCGCUGAUAGGCCCACGCCACUCUCGAGAGGGUUCAGCAGUGAAUUCCAUCGUCCCAGGUUCACCUCCUCGGUGCCAUCAAUUUCUCUUGAAGGCCCAAUUGGGGUCUU